CCCCUAGAUGUUCUGGGCCGCACGCGUGCUACACUGACACUUACACCGAGUUUUUCCAAUGCCGAAAGGCCAUUGGUAAUCAGCAAUAAGUGUCGUGAUGGGGAUAGAUCUUUGGAAUUAUUGAUCUUGAACGAGGAAUGCCUAGUAAUCGUAGGUCAUCAGCCUGCGAUGAUUACGUCCCUGCCCUUUGUACACACCGCCCGUCGCUCCUACCGAUUUCGAGUGGUUCGGUGAACCUUUCGGACCGGCAAUGCCUCGUGUUGCGCCGGAAAGUCAAGUAAACCAUAUCACUUAGAGGAAGGAGAANUCGUANCA
Molecule: ribosomal RNA, 315 nt
Filed under: uncultured eukaryote
Lineage: Eukaryota
Description: partial 18S ribosomal RNA
Rfam family: Eukaryotic small subunit ribosomal RNA
Source: RNAcentral